This 301-nucleotide ribosomal RNA is filed under the name uncultured bacterium. RNAcentral describes it as "partial 16S ribosomal RNA". It matches the Rfam family "Bacterial small subunit ribosomal RNA", at positions 509 to 807 of the family's 1533-position model. The record is from RNAcentral.
CAGCAGCCGCGGUAAUACGUAGGUGGCAAGCGUUGUCCGGAAUUAUUGGGCGUAAAGGGCUCGCAGGCGGUUUCUUAAGUCUGAUGUGAAAGCCCCCGGCUCAACCGGGGAGGGUCAUUGGAAACUGGGAAACUUGAGUGCAGAAGAGGAGAGUGGAACUCCACGUGUAGCGGUGAAAUGCGUAGGGAUGUGGAGGAACACCAGUGGCGAAGGCGACUCCCUGGUCUGUAACUGACGCUGAGGAGCGAAAGCGUGGGGAGCGAACAGGAUUAGAUACCCCUGUAGUCCCUGUCUCUUAUAC